This 116-nucleotide ribosomal RNA is filed under the name uncultured eukaryote. RNAcentral's name for it is "partial small subunit ribosomal RNA". The record is from RNAcentral.
GUGGAUUGCACCAGAAGUAGUUAGYCUAACCGCAAGGRGGACGAUUACCACGGUGUGGUUCAUGACUGGGGUGAAGUCGUAACAAGGUAGCCGUAGGUGAACCUGCAGAAGGAUCA